This is a long non-coding RNA of Haliotis rubra (blacklip abalone), 164 nucleotides long. RefSeq lists it as uncharacterized. Lineage: Eukaryota; Metazoa; Mollusca; Gastropoda; Lepetellida; Haliotidae. The transcript is spliced from 3 exons. The record is from RefSeq and is a predicted model, not a curated record.
UAAAAGCGACACAACCCUUUCCACAUUCAUAAAAAUAUCUCUGGUAAAAGCAGAGUCGUUCGUACAAUUGUGACGAAAUCAUGAGCAUAUAUUCGUUUCAGCAAUCUUACAGCUGUACGAUGUUGUUUGUAAACAAAUCGUGUCUGGACCAGAUAAUCCAGUGA